Molecule: ribosomal RNA, 487 nt
Filed under: uncultured bacterium
Lineage: Bacteria
Description: bacterial SSU rRNA
Rfam family: Bacterial small subunit ribosomal RNA
Source: RNAcentral
GAUGAACGCUGGCGGCGUGCUUAAUACAUGCAAGUCGAACGGAGUAUGUAGCAAUACGUACUUAGUGGCGAACGGGUGAGUAACGCGUUGGUGACCUGCCUCGAAGAGAGGGAUAACAGUCCGAAGGGAUUGCUAAUACCUCAUGUGAUCAUAGGGUUUAGAAGCCUGUGAUUAAAGGAGUAAUUCACUUCGAGAGGGACCUGCGUACCAUCAGCUAGUUGGUGAGGUAACGGCCCACCAAGGCGAUGACGGUUAGGGGACCUGAGAGGGUGGCCCCCCACAAUGGAACUGAAACACGGUCCAUACACCUACGGGUGGCAGCAGUAGGGAAUAUUAGUUAAUGUGCGAAAGCGCGAACUAGCAACGCCGCGUGUGCGAUGACGGCCUUCGGGUUGUAAAGCACUUUUCUAAGGGACGAGGAAGGACGGUACCUUAGGAAUAAGCAUCGGCUAACUACGUGCCAGCAGCCGCGGUAAAACGUCUAGUG